RNAcentral lists this ribosomal RNA (497 nucleotides) under uncultured bacterium. Its description in RNAcentral is "partial 16S ribosomal RNA". It matches the Rfam family "Bacterial small subunit ribosomal RNA", at positions 28 to 507 of the family's 1533-position model. The record is from RNAcentral.
GAUGAACGCUGGCGGCGUGCCUAAUACAUGCAAGUCGAGGGAACAGACCAGGAGCUUGCUCCUCUUACGUUAGCGGCGGACGGGCGCGUAACACGAGGAUAACCUACCUAUAAGACUGGGAUAACUUCGGGAAACCGGAGCUAAUACUGGUUAAUAUAUACAACCGCAUGAUUCAAUAGUGAAAGACGGUUUUGCUGUCACUUAUAGAUGGAUCCGCGCCGCAUUAGCUAGUUGGUAAGGUAACGGCUUACCAAGGCAACGAUGAGUAGCCGACCUGAGAGUGUGAUCAGCCACACUGGAAUUGAGACGCGGUCCAGACUCCUACGGGAGGCAGCAGUAGGGAAUCUUCCGCUAGGGGCUAAAGCCUGACGGAGCAACGCCGCGUGAGUGAUGAAGGUCUUCGGAUCUUAAAACUCUGUUAUUAGGGUAGAACAAAUGUGUAAGUAACUAUGCACGUCUUGACGGUACCUAAUCAGAAAGCCACGGCUAACUACGUG